CCUGUUCAAGACGACGAGAUGGUGUCCUUCAUACUUACGGGGCUUGAUUACGACUACAACUCCCUAGUGUCUUCUGUUAUGGGUCGCACAGAUCCAAUCUCCUUGAGUGACUUAUAUGCUCAGCUACUUGCAUA
Molecule: small nucleolar RNA, 134 nt
Organism: Panicum virgatum (switchgrass)
Lineage: Eukaryota; Viridiplantae; Streptophyta; Magnoliopsida; Poales; Poaceae
Product: small nucleolar RNA Z247
Exons: 1
Source: RefSeq, a predicted model, not a curated record